This 8437-nucleotide long non-coding RNA is filed under the name Chlamydomonas reinhardtii. RNAcentral's name for it is "long non-coding RNA (CREI_LNC001393)". Lineage: Eukaryota; Viridiplantae; Chlorophyta; Chlorophyceae; Chlamydomonadales; Chlamydomonadaceae. The record is from RNAcentral.
UUCGUGUACGGCACAGAUGAGGAGCGCAACAAGACGCUCAAGCUCAUCCCGCACAUUGCCAGCGGCAGCUGGAUGAUCAAGCAAUCGGUGGGCACCACGCCCGUGAUCCUGGGCAAGGCGCUCAAGGUGUCGUACCACUGCACGCCCACCUACAUCGAGGUGGACAUCGACAUCUCCGCCAACAGCGUCGCCAACUACGUCACCGGCAUGGUGCGCGGAGCCACCAGCUCGCUCGUGGUGGACCUGGGCUUCGUGCUUGAGGGUAAGACGGCGGGCGAGCAGCCGCGGCUGCAGCCACGGCGGCGGGCUCCACUCCAGCAAUUGUCGCCGACUGGAUGUGUGUCGCCUCCAAGCGGCCAGGCCGCGUACGUGCCUGCCGCGUGCCACUGUGCCGCAGGGCUGCAAUGUCUCGCGCACGCGCACGCAUGCGACCACACGACACGCUUCCAUCCCCUGACUUGCCCUGUGUGUUGCCUGACCCGGCCCAACCCGACCUGACCCGGCCCUACCCGCGCACGCACUUCACGGCCACGCAGGCCAGGCUCCGUGGGAGCUGCCCGAGUGCCUUCUGGGCUGCUUCCGUCUGGCCAACCUGGACUGCAACAAGGCCGCGGUGGACCUGGACUGGAGCACGGAGAUCCCGCUCACCGGCUGCCCCGAGGAGCUCAAGAAGUAGAAAGGGGUGCAGGGCAGAGGACACAGGAGGCAGCAGCGGCGGGAGCGGGUGCGAUUGCUGGGUCCAAGACUGUGCUGCUAUGGCGCUGCGAGAUUGGGGUGCGAAGCGUGGGGCAGGAGGACAGGAGGGCGUGGCAAGACGCUACUGAGGCUGGGGAGGUGAGGUGCAGCAUACGUAAGACAAAGCCGCAGCAGGCUCGGCGAUGUUGCUGCUUGCGGCUGACUUGCAGAGGAGGAGGGCGAUGUACGGUAUGGGGACAGGCCGGGAGGGGCCCACGGGUGGGGCCGUAAGGAGAGGCACCAUUAGGUACCGGUGGUUGAGCACAAUGGGAUGGGAUGGGAUGGGGUGGCAGUGCAAUGCAAGCAGUGAGCCCCCGUGCGUGUGUGAUGUGAUUUUGGCGUGAUUAAUGCGGAUUGAAAGCCUGUUCAGUGCAAAGGCAAUAAGAGGCUUGCCAUUGCCAGGACUGCGUGACUAGCACACGCUGGGCGGUAGGAGUGCCCGUGCAGACGGGCCUGGUGCUGCAGGGGGGCUGAAUGUGCGUGGCUGUGGGGACUGCCGAAUUGGUUCAUGCUGCAGGGAUUGGGCACUGUGCGCCUGCGUGCGCUGGUGGGUGAACUGACGGCAGGGCCCACGGCUGUAUGUGCGUUCACUUGGGUGUUGUACAUGCGAUGUGUCCGGUAGUAGGACGGCUUCCUAUGUUGUGGACUUGUGGUAAUCCCACGCACGCACUGAAUGGGUCGGGGACGUUGGUGCGCGUGGCGGGGCAGCGGUGGUGGUGUCGCCAAUGAUGGGGUACGGGGCGUGUCCGACACACGAACACUUUUGUGCACUGCGCCUCAGGGGCUUAUGUGUUGAGCUUAAACGUCACUGGCACGGCUCCGCCGGGCUUAGGCACACGCAACGCCACGGGCGCCGGCGGCCCAAGGGUCGAUUUUGAACGAUCACUUAAGCAGUUUGCCCUGGGGCUCGCGCCCAGCACUCAAAGACUGUGCAAAUGCAACUGCAAGAAGCCGCCGCAGGCAAUGGCGGCGGCGGCAGGCCGCAGCAGGCGUUUGAGUUCUGGUCAGGUGGGCGGCCGCCGUCCUGGUCCGAGCUCUCAACUUCCAGCGUCAAUCACAACAGCGCAGCCGCGUUGUCAGCAGCACGCGAUGCCGGGCCCUGCGGCGGCCAGUUCCAUUUCCCAGUCGUUGACUGGAACUCGGGCGCGGCUGCUGCAGCAGCGAUGACAGGAGCUGCUACGACACUGGCGCCGGCACCGCCGGGUCCGCCGCAGCCGCACCGGCUGCUGCCGCCGCUGGUGGAGGGCGUGGCCUACAAGAACACGCGGGUGGCGGGUGUGGUGGUGCGGCGGCGCCUGGCGCUGCUGAGGCCGCCCGGCGCCAUGCCCUCGCCACUAGCAGCCGCUGCAGGCGCCGGCAGCACCAUCACUGCCGCCCCCGGCGUAGCGGUCGCGAACCGCAACGGUGGAGUCGCCGGCAAUGUCAGCGGGGCUGGGGCGCGCAGCACUGGCAGCAGGACUGGCAGCACCAGCACCGGCACAAGCGGCACCAGCGGCAUCCCACGCGCGCUCAUCACGUGCCACGCCCCCGACCUGUCCGCUGCCGAGCAGCCGCCCAAGGCCGUGACGCGCUGGGUGCUGGACGCCGGCUGCGCCCUGCGGCCGACGGGGGCGGGGGCGCUGGUGGCGGCGGGGCCGAUGCGGAGGGGCUUGCGGCGGUCGGGGACGUGGGCGCUCACGGCGGCGCUCCACGGCACCUCCACACACGUGCUGCUGGUGCGUGGGGGACUGGGGUUGGCUGGGGGGAAAUACCUCGUUUGUGGGCACCAAGCAAAUCAUCGAGGACAAGAUGGGGUCAUCGAUAGUCAAGGGGAAGUCGGGACAUGUGCAGGCUGCUUACUGGAUUCUCAGAUGCAAGACUCGGCAUACCAACCGCCGCCGGUCCUUCACCUGCCACCGGUCGUCCUUCCUGCUUCUCGCCUGCCUGCCCUGCCUGCCUGCCUUAUCUGCUUCUCCCCUGCCUGCCCUGCCUGCCUGCCUUAUCUGCUUCUCCCCUGCCUGCCCUGCCUGCCUGCCUUAUCUGCUUCCCCCGUGCCUGCCUUAUUGCCUGCCUGCAGUACGAGGUGACCAUUGAGUGGCCGCCCGCCUGGGCCGCCUCAGGCUACACCUCCCUCACCCUGGGCUGGGAGAGCCCGGAGGAGGCGGCGCACUGGCACACCCUGCUGGCGGCAGUGCUGCGCGCGCUGCGGGCCGCACGAGCCCAGCGACAGGCGGAGGUGCAGCAGGAGCAGGAGCAGGCGCAGGCGCAGGCGCGGGGACACGGGCAGGAGCAGCACGGGAGGAGCGGUGGCGUUGGGGGUGCUGCUGUUGCAGCUGCACCAUCCAUCAGCGCAGCAGUGGCGGCAGCCGCAACGGAAGCAAGCGCUGCGGCGCUGCAGUUGAGCGCUGUGCUCGCAGCCGCUUCGGCCAGGGACGUCAGCAACGGAAGCGGCGGCACCGGCGGGCUGAGUGGCCGUGACUUCACCCCCAGCGCCCUGCCGGGUGUGGCCGCCAGCAGCGGAAUGGGAGGCAGGCCCCGCGGCCCGCCCUGGGGCCGGCCGCAGUCCAGCGGCGCGGCGGCCCAUGCGGCACGGGACCAGCAGCCCAGCUAUAACUACAUGUCAGCUGUGAGCCGGGAGGGGCCCGGUGACGAGGACGAGCAGGAGGAGGCUGCGACGUCGGAGGCAGGGGCAAGCAGCAGCGCUAGCAGUGUCAGUGACUUGAGCAGGGAGGCGGCGGCAGCCGGGGGCGAGGAGGACGACGGCGUGACGCACUGGGGGUGUGAGGAGGCGGGUCCGGGAGGCGAGCCGGGUGACAGCGCUCCCUGGGUGCCGUACAGGUGGGUGGGCGCACGUGCAUGUUGUAUACGAGCGCGUGAAACAUGUGUGUACGAGCGCGUGAAGCAUGUGUGUGACUGUGAGCAGCUUGCCAUAUGUACCUUGUUAGCUGGUCAGCCCCACGUCGCCAACAGCCGCGCCUAAGCCCCGCUGUGCCUGCCCCUACGGCCUGGCCCCCCACCCCCACCCACGGCUACCUCGCCUGCCGCUCAAACGACAGGCUUAGCAACGGCGUCGCCAUAUACCGACACAGCGUGCCGGUACGUGUGGCCGUGUGUGGAGGUGUUCGGGUCUGUUCGGGUGUACCGAGUGUGAGGCAUACGUGUUCUGCCCACGGGUGGAAAGUGCCCACCGCUGAGCUGUCCCGGUGUAGAGUAUCAAGCAUUGCGCCAUGGAUGCAUGCGGGUGCUCCCUGAACGCAGCAGGAAGCAGCCGGCACGACUGGGGGGGCGGGCGCUGGUGGGGCCGGCGCUGGCGGCACCGGCGGGGCGCACGAGUACAUGGUGUCGUGCGUGAUCCGCGGCCGGCCGCAGCGUGUGGCCGACGCGCUGCUGCGGCUGCGAGCCAACACCACCAUCCUGGGGCCGGCGGAGGCGGCGGAGGUGCUGCAGCCGGCGGACAAGGACAAAGAGGCGGCAGCAACGCCAGGGGCAGCGGCAGCGGUGGACACCAGCGGCCAGGGCGGCGCGGGGCCGUCAGCAGGCGUCGAUGCAGCUAGCAGCGGUGGCAGUGGCGGCCCGCAUCCCGGUGCACAGGUACGUUGCAUCUACCCCUGCGAUGUUAUAGUUCAACGGCAUUUCUCUAUGCUGCCGGUUCUCGAUGAGAUACUGAAGUGUUAUGCCAGGGCCGACUCAGCACAAUCAUAGUGCUACUGGUACUGGUACUUGCUGCUGGUGCUACAGCUACGGGUACUGUUGCUGCUGGUGCUGCUGCUGCUGGCGGUGCGGGUUGCAGGUGCUGCGUGUGGUGCUGUGCGCGGGCGGCGCGGCGGGAUGGUGCUGUGCGCCGCGUGAGCUGGUGGUGGAGGUGCUGCGGCGGGUGGGUGCGUGCUGGCGUGCAUGGAUGUCGAUUGCGUGUGCGCGUUUGCGACGGCGACAUGCGCGGCAGGGCUAGGGCUCAGGCUUCCAGGGCUGGGGCUUCCUCGGCCUGCAUCUCUUCCCGCGGGCCCGUGUCCCCUCCGCUUCAACCCUCCCCCCUGCUUCCUCCCGGCAGGACGCGGGCGAGGGUGUCAUUAUGGUGCUGUUCAAAUCCGUGGAUCCGCCCAGCGGUGAGGUCGUGGUGUGUGUGUAGGGAGCAUGCAAAGGGAUGACACGCCCCCGCUAUCAGGACCUCGAAGUUAGCGGAGCGAGCUCCGGUGAAGGCUAAUCUGGGUGCAGUUAACCCACUCGGGAGGCGUAGCGGGCUUCGACCCGAGCUCACCCAAGCUUUACAGCCGUUGCCUUGAAGUUAGCCCACGGCUAAUCCACCGGAGCUGGAUGAGAGCGGCCAAAACCGCUUGUGUCAUCCCUCCGGAGCAUGCAGCAGGGCCGCAACAGGUGGCGCACCAGGGUGCGUGCACGUCAGCGCAUGUAUGGGCCUCCCAGGCAGACAGGCAGGCAGGCAGGCAGGAAGAAACUCGCACCCACGCCCCCCUGCCUACAGGCCUAGCAGGGUCCCGCAGUGGCCAGCAGCAGCUGUACGGGCGGGGCCUGUACCGGCGGCCGGUGCGCGGCAGUGUGGCGGGCGGCUACACCAUUGCGGGGCUCAAGGGCAAGGGCACGCACUCGGAGGAGUCCCUGGUCACCUGCAUCAUCAAGGUGGGCGGCCGGCAGCGAUGAUGGGGAAAGAGGAAGAAAGCGAAGGGGGAGGGGAAGGGGGAGGAGAGAGGGCUGCCACUGGCAUGUCAAAUGCUUCGUGCCCAUCUGACCCCAACUCUAGAUCGACCUGGGCGGCGUGUGCGCGGACAAGUCGUGGGCCCGGCCGCUGGUGGCCCUGGCUGGCUGGACGGACGCGUUCCUGGAGCGCAUCCUCAUGUCCGUCACGCUGCUGCGAGACGAGGUGGAGCAGCGGCGCUUCACGGUGCAGCCGUUCAAGAUGGUGUCGUCGGCCAAGGCCAGGUUCAACGAGGUGAGGCGCGGGGGGGGGGGGGGGGCGGGAGGAGGGGCGGGGGGAGGGGUAUGUGCCCGAGCCCAACGAAGGGGGCGGGAGGAGGGGCAGGGGCCGGGGAGUUGUGUUCUUACCCUGUACCGGAAGCAGCAAGUAAGAGGCACGGGGUCGCAGGACACGACGCGCUGGGUGACGGGUGAUGGGCUGGAGGGGGCUGGUUGCGUGGGUCAAUGAUGGCGCCAGGGACGUUGAGAGGCAUGGCUGCGGCGUUGGGUGCCGAGGAGGCCGGUGCACUUGCCGCCCUCAGGUGAAACACAACUCUCUCAUGCUGUACAAACUGAGGAUUCCGCAUUACAUAUACAGGCGGGGCGGCUGGUCGUGGGAGAUGGCGAGGCGCCAGCGCAGCAGCAGGAACAUGCGCCGCAGGUAGGUGUGUGCGCGUUUGUUGGCAGGGCAAGAAAUGAUAGGCACCGAUGCGGCUGAUUUGUCACCUGUUCGUCUGCCAAGGGCGGCAUCUGCUUGUGGGCUUUUGCUCUCCCUCGUGCGCGCACGUUCCUCAUGCCAUCUGCCGUGCACAAGAGCCCCUACACCACACCGCGGACCCACUCCCCACGCAUCCUUCCCUCCCCGCGUAACCCUCCAGGCCUUCAUUGGUGGACUGGUCCGCAGCGGCAGACCGGCGCCGCCGUUGCCUCGCAUGGCCUCCCUCCGUCUCAUCUCCAUCCGGGGGCCGCCAGCGCCAACCGACGCCACCGACGCCACCGACGCCACUAACGCCGCCGCCACCGCCGCCGCCGCCGCCGCCAACACUGACCUGUACUCCGCCGCCGGCGGGCCCACUGCGACAGAGCUUGGCGGUCCUACUGCGCUGCUGGUGACUCAUGAGGGCGGCGCGCAGCAGGGAGAGAUGGCCCCGGCAUCCCCAGCAGCCGCUGCCGCUGCCGCUGUCGCCGCACGCGGAGCCGCCCCUGCUGCUGCACCCGGCGCAGAGGGCCAAGACGGCGCCGUCGCGGUGCCGCAGGCACCACUACCGACAUUCGGAGUAGGGGCAGCGGCGGCCGCAGCGGCAGCACAGGCGCCGCCCAACCGACCCAUCAUCCAGAUCCGGUCCCAACCCCAACCCCAACCCCAGCCCCAACCCCAACCCCAGCCCCCGACCCCGGCCCAGCCCCAGCCCCAGCCCCAGCAUCCGACCCAGACCCAGGGCACCGGCAGCCAUCAGCAGCUGCUGCAGCCUCCGUCGGCAGCAGGAACAGCACCCCCACUAGCAGGAGCACUGCCGUACACGCCGCCCUACGCCGCCGCCGCCACUGCCGCCGUGUUGGAUCUGCCGUACAUCCAGUCUCUGGCGCUGCUGCCGCGCAGCUGCUGGAGUGAGAUCCACGUGCCUGGCACCGACGCGCCGUUCCGGGUGCGUGCAUGUGUGUACUUGCGUGCGUGCGUGCGUUCUUGCGUGCGUGCUUGCAUGUAUACAUGGCGGCAGGUACCAUUUGAGUGGACGUACGCGGCAUUGGUUGCGUUGUAAUUACGUGCUUGAGUCGUUGCGCAUUCCUGGCGUUGCGCACCUCACCCAUGAAUGGCUCAUAACGUCCGCCCGCCUUGUAACCUACCCGGCGCCUGCAGGUGCGCGGCCGUACCUACCUCAAGGAUCGCAAGAAGGUGCCGGCCGGGCUCCCCGCCUUCCGCCUGGGGGCGGUGGAGAUGGUUGUGCUGCCACCGCCCGGCACCGCCGUGGGAGACGAGGGCGGCGAUGGCGCGGGUGCUGUGGUGAGCGGCGGCGGCCGCCGUGGUGGUGGCAGCGGCACGCCGGGUGUGUUGCAGCACGUGGGCCGCUUCGUCCCGUCGGUGCGGCGCAGCGGCGCACCCUUCUCCAUCAUCAUCAACCUGGUGAGCCACAUGCGCCGUUUGUGUGAGCCACAUGCGCCGUUAGUGUGAGGCACAUGCGCCGUUUGUGUGAGGCACAACUCGUGCUCGGCGAUGACUUCGGCCUAGUGGCUUACUGCUAGGCUUACCUGUGGAUGAAAACGUUGAGGCCGUGCUAAGGCGGUUGAUCGUUUGGGCCCCCUGAACGCACAUCGCAUCCCACCCGCUGUCUGCGCCUGCUGGCUUGUUGCCGCCUGCUUGGCGGUACCCGUGCUGCCCCUAGCCACCCCUUCCGCGCCACCCUUGCUGCUACGACUGUCCAACAUCCACGUGCCCUCACUCACUCCCAACAGGUCAUCCCUGGCUCGCCCCUCCUGGGAAUCCUGGCCGUGUUCUGCUGCGACAAGCACCCGUCCAUCCUGGGCAGCCCGCCCCAGAACCCCAUGGACGAGCCGCACGACUGGCAGCCCUUCGACUUCAUGCUGCACAAGUUCGUGUACGGCACAGAUGAGGAGCGCAACAAGACGCUCAAGCUCAUCCCGCACAUCGCCAGCGGCAGCUGGAUGAUCAAGCAAUCGGUGGGCACCACGCCCGUCAUCCUGGGCAAGGCGCUCAAGGUGUCGUACCACUGCACGCCCACCUACAUCGAGGUGGACAUCGACAUCUCCGCCAACAGCGUCGCCAACUACGUCACCGGCAUGGUGCGCGGAGCCACCAGCUCGCUCGAUAUCGACAUCGGACUUGUGCUGGAGGGUGCGUUUGGCUUUGUGCACGUCUUUGUUUCCUUCAGUCGUAUCCUCGCAACCGGCGGCCGCCUGUGAAGUUCAGCUAACCCAGACACUGCCGCUGUCAACGCUAUCGUGUAAGAGUGAACAAGCCGCCCGUUGCAAACCCCUGCCACAUGUGUGGCACGCACUUUGCACUUCACGCCCACGCAGG